CCCAUUUUUAAAAUUACUGAAUAUGUUGAAAAGAAGUUGGGUGACCAUGGUGAACCAUGGUGAAAUGUUAUAUGAUAUUGGGUGAUUAUAGUGAACCAUGGAGAAAUAAAAUUAAAUUAGAUGCCCAUGGUGAUACUAAAUAAAAAAGUUGAGUGGCCGUAACAAAAUCAAAAUGGAUGGUCAUUAUGAUACUAAGUAUAAAGUUCAAUGGCCAUUGGUGAAUUUAGCAUUCCUACAUAUGCAACAAGUUUGUCUAUUUUUGAUUUCCUUAAUUUAAUAUAAUCUGACUCUUUCUUUGAUUUGUACGAGUUUGAUUUUGUGUGGAUAUAUAAUAGUUCCUCUUGUGCUUCAAGAUUUUUUGAAUAUUUGUCUUGGCUCUAUUUUUUUUGUCCCUCCUAAUAACUAUGCAAUUCCUUUCUUUGCCUUUUGAUUUCAUUCAACAAGAGUGUGAAUUUGCCUAUUUGACAAAUGGUGUGAUUUUUGAAUAAAAAAAGAUGAUGUAAUUUUGAUUGAUUGGUCGAUGCGAAGAUGGGUCAUUUUAGAGUGUUUUGGGGGGUUGAAGUAAGAAAGGAAUAUCGUAGAUAAAUGGGUUCCACUGAACAAAAGUUGAAAUUGGGACCCUACUAUGAAGAGAUGAAACUGUUAAAAGAAAUGCAGGAUCAUUCUGGUUAAUAUCUAUUUUCCUACUCUAAUAUUUUAUAUUUGCGUAGAAUUGUUUAAGUAAAAGUGAAUACUUUAUGGAUUCAUGGUAAAGACUCUUGAUUCAUAUUUCUUGUGAUCUUUGAAUGGUGAAUUUUUACUAUUUUAAAUUGAUUUACUACGGGGACAAGGAAGACACUAAAUUUGGAGCUAUGGCAUACUAGUGUUGUUCCAUUGGUUUCCUUGACUCAGGUUGGAAGCCUCAUGCACUAUUUUUCAUUAUGUAAUUUGGAAGAAGAUGAUGAUAUUGGUUUGUAUGAUUGUUAUAUGCUUUAGAAUAAGGAAUAAAAAUACUAAUAAUUUGGCUAUGCUAAGGUAAUAGGUGGCGAACGUAAAAAACGCUGAAGAUUGUUGAGCAAUAGUUCGAUUCUACAUUGCAGUCUUG
Molecule: long non-coding RNA, 1084 nt
Filed under: Olea europaea subsp. europaea
Lineage: Eukaryota; Viridiplantae; Streptophyta; Magnoliopsida; Lamiales; Oleaceae
Source: RNAcentral